RNAcentral lists this ribosomal RNA (1498 nucleotides) under metagenome. Its description in RNAcentral is "bacterial SSU rRNA". It matches the Rfam family "Bacterial small subunit ribosomal RNA". The record is from RNAcentral.
GAGUUUGAUCAUGGCUCAGAUUGAACGCUGGCGGCAGGCCUAACACAUGCAAGUCGAACGGUAACAGGAAACAGCUUGCUGUUUCGCUGACGAGUGGCGGACGGGUGAGUAAUGUCUGGGAAACUGCCUGAUGGAGGGGGAUAACUACUGGAAACGGUAGCUAAUACCGCAUAACGUCGCAAGACCAAAGAGGGGGACCCUCGGGCCUCUUGCCAUCGGAUGUGCCCAGAUGGGAUUAGCUUGUUGGUGGGGUAACGGCUCACCAAGGCGACGAUCCCUAGCUGGUCUGAGAGGAUGACCAGCCACACUGGAACUGAGACACGGUCCAGACUCCUACGGGAGGCAGCAGUGGGGAAUAUUGCACAAUGGGCGCAAGCCUGAUGCAGCCAUGCCGCGUGUAUGAAGAAGGCCUUCGGGUUGUAAAGUACUUUCAGCGGGGAGGAAGGGAGUAAAGUUAAUACCUUUGCUCAUUGACGUUACCCGCAGAAGAAGCACCGGCUAACUCCGUGCCAGCAGCCGCGGUAAUACGGAGGGUGCAAGCGUUAAUCGGAAUUACUGGGCGUAAAGCGCACGCAGGCGGUUUGUUAAGUCAGAUGUGAAAUCCCCGGGCUCAACCUGGGAACUGCAUCUGAUACUGGCAAGCUUGAGUCUCGUAGAGGGGGGUAGAAUUCCAGGUGUAGCGGUGAAAUGCGUAGAGAUCUGGAGGAAUACCGGUGGCGAAGGCGGCCCCCUGGACGAAGACUGACGCUCAGGUGCGAAAGCGUGGGGAGCAAACAGGAUUAGAUACCCUGGUAGUCCACGCCGUAAACGAUGUCGACUUGGAGGUUGUGCCCUUGAGGCGUGGCUUCCGGAGCUAACGCGUUAAGUCGACCGCCUGGGGAGUACGGCCGCAAGGUUAAAACUCAAAUGAAUUGACGGGGGCCCGCACAAGCGGUGGAGCAUGUGGUUUAAUUCGAUGCAACGCGAAGAACCUUACCUGGUCUUGACAUCCACGGAAGUUUUCAGAGAUGAGAAUGUGCCUUCGGGAACCGUGAGACAGGUGCUGCAUGGCUGUCGUCAGCUCGUGUUGUGAAAUGUUGGGUUAAGUCCCGCAACGAGCGCAACCCUUAUCCUUUGUUGCCAGCGGUCCGGCCGGGAACUCAAAGGAGACUGCCAGUGAUAAACUGGAGGAAGGUGGGGAUGACGUCAAGUCAUCAUGGCCCUUACGACCAGGGCUACACACGUGCUACAAUGGCGCAUACAAAGAGAAGCGACCUCGCGAGAGCAAGCGGACCUCAUAAAGUCGUCGUAGUCCGGAUUGGAGUCUGCAACUCGACUCCAUGAAGUCGGAAUCGCUAGUAAUCGUGGAUCAGAAUGCCACGGUGAAUACGUUCCCGGGCCUUGUACACACCGCCCGUCACACCAUGGGAGUGGGUUGCAAAAGAAGUAGGUAGCUUAACCUUCGGGAGGGCGCUUACCACUUUGUGAUUCAUGACUGGGGUGAAGUCGUAACAAGGUA